This 253-nucleotide ribosomal RNA is filed under the name uncultured bacterium. Its description in RNAcentral is "partial 16S ribosomal RNA". It matches the Rfam family "Bacterial small subunit ribosomal RNA", at positions 524 to 776 of the family's 1533-position model. The record is from RNAcentral.
GACAGAGGGGGCAAGCGUUGCUCGGAAUCACUGGGCGUAAAGGGCGCGUAGGCGGGAUGGCAAAUCGGUCGUGAAAUCCUUCGGCUCAACCGAAGAACGUCGGCCGAUACUGCCGUUCUUGAGGGAUGCAGAGGAGAUUGGAAUUCCCGGUGUAGCGGUGAAAUGUGUAGAGAUCGGGAGGAACACCGGUGGCGAAGGCGGGUCUCUGGGCAUCUCCUGACGCUGAGGCGCGAAAGCGUGGGGAGCAAACGGG